This 739-nucleotide long non-coding RNA is filed under the name Olea europaea (common olive). RNAcentral's name for it is "long non-coding RNA (OEUR_LNC002115)". Lineage: Eukaryota; Viridiplantae; Streptophyta; Magnoliopsida; Lamiales; Oleaceae. The record is from RNAcentral.
AGCUAAAGAGCCAAGAUUUGAAGCCAUGAAGGCCAUGGAAAACACAAAUUUGGGUCCAAUUGCUACUGUUUAAGUAGUAAUUUGCUUAAAAUUCACUGUUGUUUAUGUAACUUUACGAAUUGAUGUAUUAAGCUAGAGUAUUAGGGUCUAUUUGGCUUCUGUUUGUCAGCUUAUGAGUGUGUCUCACUAUUCGAUUGGUGUUUGAAAAUGUUCUUUUGUGUGUCAAACAGUAAAAGUAACCGAACUUUUUCCUGUUCAUCAAACAAUGUGUCUUCCUACAAUUUCUGUUGAAUUUUUCUGAAUUCCGACAGACUUAGCCAUGGAUGGUAGAAAAUCAACUCCGUGUUUGAAUAAUGUCAGCUUCCCCCUCUUCUUUCGUCUAUGUUUUGGGUAAAGCGGCUAAAUCCUAUGGAGAAAUUCGCUACGUGAAAGCUAAAAGCUAAGCUAAUCGAUCUAAGACACUCGACCAGGAGCUUCUACGCGGAUUAGACACCCACCUAGCCUACCAGGAGCAGAAGAAGAAGGAAGUGAGAGCGCAUCUUUAAAAAGGAGCGAGAUUGAUUGAUAAAAAGAGGUCGCCUAGAGAGGAUAGCGAGCAUGGCUUGGCUAGCUCGCGAGUCACUCGUGGCUUGUUAUUUAUUUAUCUGUCUAUAUAAAAAAUAAAAAAUCGAUAUUUUCAUUCCAAAAAGUAUUAAAAAGACAUAUUUAUUUUUAAGAAUACUUAUAAAGAUAUAAUAAC